Molecule: ribosomal RNA, 442 nt
Filed under: uncultured prokaryote
Description: bacterial SSU rRNA
Rfam family: Bacterial small subunit ribosomal RNA
Source: RNAcentral
UGAGGAAUCUUGGGCAGUGGGGGAAACCCUGACCCAGCCACGCCGCGUGGAGGAAGACACCCCUACGGGGCGUAAACUCCUUUUGUGUGAGAAGAAGGUCCCGUUCGUCGGGAUUUGACGGUACCACACGAAUAAGCACCGGCUAACUCCGUGCCAGCAGCCGCGGUAAUACGGAGGGUGCAAGCGUUGUCCGGAAUUAUUGGGUGUAAAGGGUGUGUAGGCGGACUUGUAAGUCAGAGGUGAAAGCCCGCGGCUUAACCGUGGAAUUGCCUUUGAUACUGCAGGUCUUGAGUCCUGGAGAGGUCGCUGGAAUUCGUGGUGUAGCGGUGAAAUGCGUAGAUAUCAUGAGGAACACCGAUAGGGAAGCCAGCUUACUGGACGGUCACUGACGCUGAGGUACGAAAGCGUGGGGAGCGAACAGGAUUAGAUACCCCCGUAGUCC